AAAUAUACAAAGAUUACGUAUCAUUUCAUUGAUAUGAGUGAAACAACAAAAUUUGGCAAUGCACAGAGCCGCCGACACGAACCUGCUUGGUGCGCAAUCACAAGAGCAGAACAGAGAAGUGGGUUGCUCAGCCCACAACAUCACCGGCAGGAUCACAUCCUAAAUGUAUUGUAUUUUCUAGAUCUAUAUUAGUACCUACAAAACCUACAUACUCCCUUCGUCCUGAAAUUCAUGUACAGUGUACGUUUUGCAAAAAACACCUCACAAUUUUAAAACAGUAGCAAGCACGUCCUUGACUCCUUCUGCUUCCUCUGUCCGCCGCCCGUGCGUCGCCAGGGGCCAGGGGCCGGCGCCGCGGGAUUCCGCCGCCGUGCUGGAGAUUCCUGCACUCACGGCCCACCCGCAACCACGCACCGCCGCCCACCCGCCACCAGCUGCCCGCGGAUUCCGCCGCCCAACGCCGCGACCACCAGGCGAGCCGGUCCUCGAUCCGUCGCGACCACCUGCCGGCGACCACCUGUGUGAUAACGCCGCCCACCUGCGCGACCAGCCACUGCGGCGCCGCCCACCUCGACCUGCACCGCUGCCAACCCGUCUCUGCUACUUUGAGACUCCGAUCGCCGGCCCCGUCUCUGCUGCUGGGAGAUUCCGAUCGCCAGCCCAGUCUCUCCUUCCCCUCCGACUCCUUCCU
This 691-nucleotide long non-coding RNA is filed under the name Triticum aestivum (bread wheat). RNAcentral describes it as "long non-coding RNA (TAES_LNC007047)". The record is from RNAcentral. Lineage: Eukaryota; Viridiplantae; Streptophyta; Magnoliopsida; Poales; Poaceae.